RNAcentral lists this long non-coding RNA (1152 nucleotides) under Bemisia tabaci. RNAcentral describes it as "lncRNA ENSSSA3NGG003292". Lineage: Eukaryota; Metazoa; Arthropoda; Insecta; Hemiptera; Aleyrodidae. The record is from RNAcentral.
AACGAUGGAUAUUAAUGUCACUACUUGGUGCAUGAUUUUUUAAUUAGUUACCUAUAACUGUUACGUUACUUUCCGUAAAUAAUCACAAUCAUGUGUUUUCCAUCUCGAGUGUUGGUGUGAGUUACAAGCGGAGAAUCGGGUGAAUUGCCGGUAGGAUUUAUUAAGGGCCAGAAUCACCCGUAUACACAUUUAACGAAGGUCAAAAGUACGAAUGCUUUUGGAGUCCGGUACAUUCAGACACUCCGGAAUCUUUGCUCGAAUCGAAAGUUGUCCUACACAAUAAUGAUGUCCUGAUGGAUUCGGUAACCACACAAAACAGGAGAAGGCAGCAUUCAGCAAUAAACCUGGAUACUACAAUUGCUUCAUCUACGUAAUCAAAGAUUUCUGCGGCUUCUCACCGUCCGCUGCAGAGGACGCCGACCGCCUCCUCGCCCGGGCUCACCGGCGAGUGGAAAUGCAAGCAAUACAUCAGCGACGAGAGAGGAGCAGGCGGCGGCGGCGCCAGCGAGAGUCCGAGAAGUUCCCGUCAACGCCAAUAUCAAAACCGUCAUUGUUCCGCAAGUUCGCCCCCCCCCCCUACCUCCAAGUUUCAGUCCCGGAGGAUGCCACCCAGCUUGUAUUUCUUAGUCCGCUCGGCAAACUCACAUCUCUCCAAAGAAAUGUAGCCCAAGCUUUCCCGAGCUCCUAUAUGGACACGAUCACUAGCAUGAUAGCCUUAGCAGAAGUAAGAGGUUCGACAUCUUCCAAACGAAGCCGGACCGAAAGCAGCUUCAACAGGUAUCUAUUAAUUAAUGAACGCGUAAGGAGAGUAAAACGAGGAGAUAUGCAAAAGUAGGACAUCGCUGCGAUUUUGUAUUUUGGCGAAAACCAGACGGACUCUUGAGAAAAAGAGAGGACGGAAAAAAGUGAAUCAUAACUGUCAUAAGUAUGAAGCUAAUUUCGAAUCGCGACACUUAAAAAUCCCACAUUUUAUACCUACGUCCAAAAAUACCACGUCUCCGCAUCUCACGGGAAUAACUUGGAAACGACAACUAAUGGACUUAAUUCGGAAGUAAAUUCCAUACACGGCUCCUUCAGAAAUCUCAACGAACGGCAUUUGCAUUGAUAGAAUCGCUGAUCAGCACGCCCGCGCCAUGAGUUUUAUAGAAAGGC